RNAcentral lists this ribosomal RNA (427 nucleotides) under uncultured bacterium. RNAcentral describes it as "partial 16S ribosomal RNA". It matches the Rfam family "Bacterial small subunit ribosomal RNA", at positions 355 to 774 of the family's 1533-position model. The record is from RNAcentral.
UGGGGAAUAUUGGACAAUGGGCGAAAGCCUGAUCCAGCCAUGCCGCGUGUGUGAAGAAGGUCUUCGGAUUGUAAAGCACUUUAAGUUGGGAGGAAGGGCAUUAACCUAAUACGUUAGUGUUUUGACGUUACCGACAGAAUAAGCACCGGCUAACUCUGUGCCAGCAGCAGCGGUAAUACAGAGGGUGCAUGCGUUAAUCGGAAUUACUGGGCGUAAAGCGCGCGUAGGUGGUUUGUUAAGUUGGAUGUGAAAGCCCCGGGCUCAACCUGGGAACUGCAUCCAAAACUGGCAAGCUAGAGUACGGUAGAGGGUGGUGGAAUUUCCUGUGUAGCGGUGAAAUGCGUAGAUAUAGGAAGGAACACCAGUGGCGAAGGCGACCACCUGGACUGAUACUGACACUGAGGUGCGAAAGCGUGGGGAGCAAACA